CCGCAGGCAACGACCCGAAGGGCGAAGCGCGCAGCGCUGAGUCAUCCUUCCCCCACCACCA
RNAcentral lists this small RNA (61 nucleotides) under Salmonella enterica subsp. enterica serovar Muenchen. RNAcentral's name for it is "partial RtT sRNA". It matches the Rfam family "RtT RNA", at positions 71 to 130 of the family's 130-position model. Rfam says of the family: This family represents a bacterial cis-regulatory element known as RtT RNA. The exact function of RtT is unknown although it is thought that it may be involved in changing the cellular response in relation to amino acid starvation. The record is from RNAcentral. RNAcentral also lists the same sequence under 16 other names. Lineage: Bacteria; Pseudomonadati; Pseudomonadota; Gammaproteobacteria; Enterobacterales; Enterobacteriaceae.